Molecule: ribosomal RNA, 467 nt
Filed under: uncultured bacterium
Lineage: Bacteria
Description: partial 16S ribosomal RNA
Rfam family: Bacterial small subunit ribosomal RNA
Source: RNAcentral
ACGAACGCUGGCGGCGUGCUUCACACAUGCAAGUCGAACGGAAAGGCCCUGCUUUUGUGGGGUGCUCGAGUGGCGAACGGGUGAGUAACACGUGAGUAACCUGCCCUUGACUUUGGGAUAACUUCAGGAAACUGGGGCUAAUACCGGAUAGGAGCUCCUGCUGCAUGGUGGGGGUUGGAAAGUUUCGGCGGUUGGGGAUGGACUCGCGGCUUAUCAGCUUGUUGGUGGGGUAGUUGCUUACCAAGGCUUUGACGGGUAGCCGGCCUGAGAGGGUGACCGGCCACAUUGGGACUGAGAUACGGCCCAGACUCCUACGGGAGGCAGCAGUGGGGAAUAUUGCACAAUGGGCGGAAGCCUGAUGCAGCAACGCCGCGUGCGGGAUGACGGCCUUCGGGUUGUAAACCGCUUUCGCCUGUGACGAAGCGUGAGUGACGGUAAUGGGUAAAGAAGCACCGGCUAACUACGUG